GCAGUGAGGUUCCACCUCUUCCCAUUCCGAACAGAGAAGUUAAGCUCACUAACGCCGAUGGUACUGCGGUUUUCCCGUGGGAGAGUAGGU
This 90-nucleotide ribosomal RNA is filed under the name Alistipes onderdonkii. Lineage: Bacteria; Pseudomonadati; Bacteroidota; Bacteroidia; Bacteroidales; Rikenellaceae. The record is from RNAcentral.